AUUGACCGCUAGCGGCAGGCCUAACACAUGCAAGUCGAGCGGAGCGGCGGACGGGAGAGUAAUGCCUAGGAAUCUGCCUGGUAGUGGGGGAUAACGUACGGAAACGGGCGCUAAUACCGCAUACUAUCAGAUGAGCCUAGGUCGGAUUAGCUAGUUGGUGGGGUAAAGGCCUACAAAGGCGACGAUCCGUAACGGGUCUGAGAGGAUGAUCAGCCACACUGGAACUGAGACACGGUCCAGACUCCUACGGGAGGCAGCAGUGGGGAAUAUUGGACAAUGGGCGAAAGCCUGAGCCAGCCCUGCGGCGUGUAUGAAGAGGGCCUGCGGGUGGUAAGGUACGGUCAGCGGGGAGGCGUUACCCGCAGAAGAAGCACCGGCUAACUCCGUGCCAGCAGCCGCGGUAAUUC
RNAcentral lists this ribosomal RNA (407 nucleotides) under uncultured bacterium. RNAcentral's name for it is "partial 16S ribosomal RNA". It matches the Rfam family "Bacterial small subunit ribosomal RNA", at positions 29 to 526 of the family's 1533-position model. The record is from RNAcentral.